CUUGGAAAAAGGACUUUAAACAUUCUCCUGUUCUGUGGAAUAAGUAUACUUUUUUCUGGACAUACACGUUGUCAGUGAGUUCCAUGUGAUACUAGAGUUGCAUAGAUUUUUAACCUUUACGCCAAUGAAGAUCUGAGGCAAACAUUGCCCCUUUUUUAGAAGUUUGCAUUUGUCACUGAUAACUGUAAUAAUUGAUCUUGUUGAAAAGCCUGGGAAAUGAAGAUCUGAUACGUCACUUUUACCGGCUUCCUCAACUGAAAAAGAAUACAAUGAAACACGCUGAGAAUUUUUGUGCUUUCUCAGUCUUGCUGAUGAUCUUUCUAUGGGCCUGAAGCGUGGAGAGUGCCAGAGAGGCUGAUCCUCAGCAGUGUGGCAGAGGAAAGUUGGGUGCGACUAAGGGGUAUGCGGUGCCCAAAUGCCACUGGGUCCUCAGCAGUACCACCUGAUUGGAAGUGAUAUUGGUGGAAGACAACAUUUUGCCGCUUGGAAUUCUCACCUCCACACCAAAGAAGUACUGUUUUUGUCAUUUGCACCAGCUUCUUUCUCCAGGAAAGAUCAAAACGAUGCACUGCAAGGUGUGGUUGGUCCAGAUAGCUGCCUUAUCCAACUGCCUCCUUUGGACCACUUCAUCAUGGGACAGCUUGAUGCAAUCUACUUGACAAGACCCUGGAACCCCACACCCCUCAUGGAACCAGUGUCCACCUCCCAGUCACAGUGUGACCCCAGGGAACUCUUGCCUGCUUGCUUUAAACCCACCACUUAAAAGUCUCCACAGAAAACCUGUUUGAAUAGUACCUUUGACCCAAUAAGGGCAUUGGCCCAUGGGUGUCUCUCUCUCUCUCUCUCCCUCUCUCUCUCUCUCGCUCCCUGACCUCUGCGUGUGGACUCCAGGCAUGCCAUAUACCCCUCAGGACCUGAAGCAAGAGAAUGAAUUAAAGAAAACUCCAGAGAAUGAGCUGACAACCUACUCCCUGGUCACUGGCUCUCCAUGCCUACCUGUGGUCUCUUGGACACCCUUGCAGAAGAUGACUUCCUGGGAACUCUUCUGGGAGUGAAUGUUAUCAGCAAAUUCCCAAAACAACACCCCUUAGACAAAAAGCCUCCUCACCUAUGCAUUGCCUAGACCACCCACUAAAGGUGAUGGCCACAAAGAGGUGGAUUUGUUGAGUUGGUGCCAUUCCUUCUACUGCCAGCUUCACCAAAACAAUGACACAGUCUUCCUUCUGCAUGGAGACUCUUCUCUUUCCUGUGUUGCAGUGGAUGCCUCCUGCAGAUAAGAAAUGCUUAACUGAGAAAUGCUCAUGUUGGGAUAUCAUCGAUGAGACUUUAAUUUGGGCAUGGUGACUGUUUCCCUUGCUGCCACUUGACUCAAUCCCAGGAGCCUCAGUAGAGGAUAUAAUAUUACACAAGAUGCUCAAAAUGGUGGAAUUGCUCAGUGCUCCCAUAAAUAUACAUUUAUAAUUUUCAUUUGCCACAUGGUAAACUGAAAAAUACAGACUAUAUUAAAAAGAAACUGCAUGAUUUUUUUUCAAAAAUUCAAAGCAUAUUUAAAUAAUAUAUAAAUUAAAUGCCCUCCUCUCUUCCAAUUCUGUCCCUAUACUUUUCCUCUAUUAAGUGAACUACAUGCAUUCUUUUAGUGGAUAGAUGCACACAAACACACAAGCCAUUAUGGGGAAGGAUCCACGUGUGUGGCCAUAUUGUAACACAUUUUUCUGCAAAUUACCUCUUUCAUUUAACAGCCCUUAUUCAAUGGCCUUUUUCUUUUUCAGUAGUACAUACACAUCUGUGUCAUUUGUUGAAUGACGACAUGAAUGUUUUGUAGAUAAAAUAUAAUUAAAUGUUUUAAGCAUUUCUCACUCAUAGAUAUUUAUGUUAGCACCAAAUUUCUGUGCAAUGAACCUCCCUAUAUAUCAGUAAUUUUGCAUUUGUCUAUAAUAUCAUAAUAAAUUACUUAUCAGUUGAAUUACUGGGAUUAAGUAUGUGCACACUUUAUAUUUAUAUUUUGAAAAUUAUUGCAAGAUUGCCUUCAAAAAUGUGGUUAACAACUUUAUCUUCAAAUGGCAAUGAAUGAGAUUGCCAGCUUUCCUACAACCUCACAGACAAUGGAUUUUAUAAAUAUUUAACAUUUUUGCCAAUGUGAUCACCCAAACUAUUGUCUUAAAUUGUAUUUCUUUUGUUUUUGAGUUUGGUCAUUUUUUCAUGUUUAUUAGCCAUCUGUAUUUUUUAAUUUCUUCUUUAUGUCCAAUUUUGUGGGUGGGAGGAGGAUUUAGUCUCUUCCUGAUUUCGAAGAGCUCAUUUACUAUUUCGGGAAAUAAGAUUUGGAUUGUCAACCAUUAUAGCUAUUUUUUACACACUUUUCAACUUUGUUUUUGUUAUAAGAAUGUGUAUGAUUGUUACAUGUCCAAGUAUAACCAUGUUCGCUUUUAUGGCUUCUGAGUUUCAUGUCAUUUUUGGAAAGAUAUAUAUAUUGAGUCCAUAAAACCCUUCACCUAUGUUAAAUUUGAAUUCUUUUGUGUUUUUUUAAUUCAAAUUCUUAAAUCAUGAGAAAUUUUUUUGUUUUGAAAUCUUAAAGUUGCCAAGUUACUUGCCAUUACUUGCGAUUAUUUGCCAAUAAUUGCCCAUUUAUCUGUACCGCCAUCUUGCGCAUAUGCUGUACUCUCAUCUGUGACUGGCUCCAUUUUUGUUCUGUGGAUUUGUGUGUCUCUUCUUCUGCCUCCUGUCUCGUGUCUUCUCGUUGGAAGAAAUUACAGUUUAGACUGCAAUUUCAUCAACUUUAAUAAAUCAAUUGAGGGGAGAAUUGGUUUUUAAAAAUAUUAAGUAAGUCUUCG
RNAcentral lists this long non-coding RNA (2828 nucleotides) under Pan troglodytes (chimpanzee). Its description in RNAcentral is "long non-coding RNA NONPTRT005258". Lineage: Eukaryota; Metazoa; Chordata; Mammalia; Primates; Hominidae. The record is from RNAcentral.